RNAcentral lists this long non-coding RNA (620 nucleotides) under Nicotiana benthamiana. Its description in RNAcentral is "long non-coding RNA (NBEN_LNC034884)". The record is from RNAcentral. Lineage: Eukaryota; Viridiplantae; Streptophyta; Magnoliopsida; Solanales; Solanaceae.
UUGAAGUGCAUUUUAGUGUUAUCAAUGUCCGUUUGGGAUUCAGAGUCUGGGAGUAGCUCCGUAUGGUGAUUGUGGUGUUGGGAGCAUGAUUGGAAGUGAAUUUAGAGGUCCGUGGGUCAUUUGGCUAAAGAUAGAAAUUUGAAUGUUUUUGAUAUAGGGGUCAGCUUUUGAUUCCAAAAGUUGGAAUUGGUUAUAAUAUCGAACAUGAAUUGUGUGCAAAGAUUGAGGUCAAUCGGACAUGAUUUGAUAGGUUUAAACAUCGAAAGUCAAAGUUUGAAUUUUUAAAGUUCAUUUAAGCUUGAAUCGGAGUGCGAUUCGUGAUUUUAGCGUUGUUUGAUAUGAUUUAAGGCCUCGAGCAAGUCUGUAAUGUGUUUUCCGACUAGUCGGUAUGAUUAUUUGGGGUCCUGAGGGCCUCGGGUCGAUUCUGGAUGGUUAACGGAUCGAAAAUGGAAUUUUGGAAAAGGUUGAAGUUGCUGGUUGCCGAUGUAACCGUACCUGCAAAACUAGGGUCGCAGGUGCGGAGCCGCAUAAGCGGCCUUCUGUCACGACCCUAGUCCACCAUCCGUGAACACGUCAUGACGACACCCAGUAACGAGGACCAGGGAAUCCUAACACUGCGG